CGUUUUAAUCGUUUCAACUGGUUACUGACAUUUUCACAAUGAAUUUUCUCAAGAAUUUCUAUUUUCUCUUGGUCAUUUUAGCCAUAUCUAUGGUUACUAUUGAUGCUGCCAAUCAGCCGAAACCCGCGGUUAAAGAAAAAAAAGUCAGGGUUGCGGAAGGAAGGGGGGUCAAUAUUAAUAGACCUAAUAAUACGAAGGCUUAAGAUAAAUCUAAAUUGAUGAUUUAUUGAAAUCCUUAUUUCUUGAGUGUAUUAUAUAUAUGUUUUAAGUUGAAUAAAUAUUUCAAAUUUGUGCAAUAAAAA
This is a long non-coding RNA of Calliphora vicina (urban bluebottle blowfly), 302 nucleotides long. RefSeq lists it as uncharacterized. Lineage: Eukaryota; Metazoa; Arthropoda; Insecta; Diptera; Calliphoridae. The record is from RefSeq and is a predicted model, not a curated record. The transcript has 2 exons.